GCGGAAAUGGCGGAAUUGGUAGACGCACCAGAUUUAGGUUCUGGCGCCGCAAGGUGUGAGAGUUCAAGUCUCUCUUUCCACACCA
Molecule: transfer RNA, 85 nt
Filed under: Vibrio parahaemolyticus
Lineage: Bacteria; Pseudomonadati; Pseudomonadota; Gammaproteobacteria; Vibrionales; Vibrionaceae
Description: tRNA-Leu
Rfam family: tRNA
About the family: Transfer RNA (tRNA) molecules are approximately 80 nucleotides in length.
Source: RNAcentral